This 377-nucleotide ribosomal RNA is filed under the name uncultured Phycisphaerae bacterium. RNAcentral describes it as "bacterial SSU rRNA". It matches the Rfam family "Bacterial small subunit ribosomal RNA", at positions 521 to 896 of the family's 1533-position model. The record is from RNAcentral. Lineage: Bacteria; Pseudomonadati; Planctomycetota; Phycisphaerae.
UAAGACGAAGGUGGCUAGCGUUGUUCGGAAUCACUGGGCUUAAAGCGCACGCAGGCGGCUCAUCAAGCGUUUUGUGAAAUCCCUCGGCUCAACCGAGGAAUUGCUCGGCGAACUGAUGGGCUUGAGGCAGGCAGGGGCGAGUGGAACUCUUGGUGGAGCGGUGGAAUGCGUAGAUAUCAAGAGGAACGUCGGUGGCGAAGGCGACUCGCUGGGCCUGUCCUGACGCUGAGGUGCGAAAGCUAGGGUAGCGAACGGGAUUAGAUACCCCGGUAGUCCUAGCCCUAAACGAUGUCCACUAGGUCAAUGGGUCUCUGACGGCUUGUUGGCCGUAGAAAAAUUGAUAAGUGGACCGCCUGGGGAGUACGGUCGCAAGGCUA